This 78-nucleotide transfer-messenger RNA is filed under the name Synechococcus sp. RS344. RNAcentral describes it as "partial transfer-messenger RNA". It matches the Rfam family "Cyanobacteria transfer-messenger RNA", at positions 1 to 79 of the family's 288-position model. Rfam says of the family: Bacterial tmRNA, also known as 10Sa RNA or SsrA, is named for its dual tRNA and mRNA-like properties. Its role is to liberate the mRNA from a stalled ribosome. Lineage: Bacteria; Bacillati; Cyanobacteriota; Cyanophyceae; Synechococcales; Synechococcaceae. The record is from RNAcentral.
CUGUCAGAAUGACAGGGUCCGGCUUCGUCGGACUAGGUGAUCCACACCAGUGUUUCGGACAGCGGUUCGAUUCCGCUC